This 181-nucleotide non-coding RNA is filed under the name Thalassiosira rotula. The record is from RNAcentral. Lineage: Eukaryota; Bacillariophyta; Thalassiosirophyceae; Thalassiosirales; Thalassiosiraceae.
CUCUAAGUACACCUACACUAACUAAUAUUUCUUGACGGCUUCAUUCCCUCCUUGAUCGUGAAUUAAGAAGCUAAGUGAGCAGGCAGGGGAUUGUAUCUACCUUCCUAACAUAAUAUCCACAGGUGGAUAGAGUUGAGGAAGUUCGACAGAAACAAACGCUUUACAACGCCACAGAGAAAUC